This 77-nucleotide transfer RNA is filed under the name Tissierellia bacterium. Its description in RNAcentral is "tRNA-Pro". It matches the Rfam family "tRNA". Rfam says of the family: Transfer RNA (tRNA) molecules are approximately 80 nucleotides in length. Their secondary structure includes four short double-helical elements and three loops (D, anti-codon, and T loops). Lineage: Bacteria; Bacillati; Bacillota; Tissierellia. The record is from RNAcentral. RNAcentral also lists the same sequence under 1 other name.
CGGGAUGUGGCGCAGUAUGGUAGCGCACAAGUCUGGGGGACUUGGGGCCGCUGGUUCAAAUCCAGUCAUCCCGACCA